UUUCCGUAGGUGAGCCUGCGGAAGGAUCAUUACUGAUCUUGCGGACCGAGCGUCAGCGAGGUUCCGCGAUCACCUGUAUUUAAAACCCACACUUUUGAAUUAUAUGUAUAUUUUUGUAUUUUUGAUAAAAAAAAGAUCACUUUCAACAACGGAUCUCUUGGCUCUCGCAUCGAUGAAGAACGUAGCGAAGUGCGAUAAGUAAUGUGAAUUGCAGAAUUCCGUGAAUCAUCGAAUCUUUGAACGCAGAUUGCACUCUCUGGUAUUCCGGAGAGUAUGCCUGUUUGAGGGUCAGUUAAAUAAAAAUCGAUGUUGUUGCCAUCUUGCGUGGUGACGCAUCGGAUGUGGGUCGUCUUACCUUCGGUUAAGUGACCUAAAAUUUUGCAUGAUUUUUUCGAACGUAUUUAAAUUAUUUACGUGCGUUUGUGAUAAUCGAACAUUAGACGUGAUCAUUCUCAUGAUUCGCGCCUAUGAUUUCUCAUCAAAAUGACCUCAAAUCAGGUAAGAGUACCCGCUGAACUUAA
Molecule: ribosomal RNA, 521 nt
Filed under: uncultured Glomus
Lineage: Eukaryota; Fungi; Glomeromycota; Glomeromycetes; Glomerales; Glomeraceae
Description: eukaryotic LSU rRNA
Rfam family: 5.8S ribosomal RNA (bases 138-291)
Source: RNAcentral